UCUCUCUCUCUCUCUCUCUCUCUUGCUCUCUCUCUCUCUCUGCUAGAAUUAACAGGGAACUUCAACUCGACGCUCCCAAUGCUGAUCUUGAAGAAGCUGUCAAGGAGGCUGAACAAGUCCUUCAAAGGUUCAACCCUUCACAGCUGAAAGGGAAGACCAAAUGAAGGCCUGUCAUGGGAUUUGAAUUUGACCAUCUUGUGCGUUUAUGGAGAAGACCAAAAGCUGCAAAGGCAAACACUUCCAAUGGAUUUCUCACAGAUUACUUAGUACUUCUCCAUCAACUCUCCACAAUAUCAGCCCCUCCAAAAGCUUCC
This is a long non-coding RNA of Sinocyclocheilus anshuiensis, 314 nucleotides long. RefSeq lists it as uncharacterized. Lineage: Eukaryota; Metazoa; Chordata; Actinopteri; Cypriniformes; Cyprinidae. The record is from RefSeq and is a predicted model, not a curated record. The transcript is spliced from 3 exons.